Molecule: microRNA precursor, 201 nt
Filed under: Sorghum bicolor (sorghum)
Lineage: Eukaryota; Viridiplantae; Streptophyta; Magnoliopsida; Poales; Poaceae
Description: MIR1435 microRNA precursor family
Rfam family: MIR1435 microRNA precursor family
Source: Rfam by way of RNAcentral
UGGUUUUGUCCCAAGUCAAACUUAUCUAACUUUGACCAAGUUUAUAGAAAAAUAUGUUGACAUCAAUAAUACCAAAAUAAGUGCACUAUCAAUAUAUUUCAUGGUGGAUUUAAUGAAUCUAAUUUGAUUUUGUAGAUGUUGGUGAUUUUUCCUAUAAACUUGGUCAAAGUUAUUGAAAUGUUUGACUUAUGACAAAAAUAA